RNAcentral lists this ribosomal RNA (253 nucleotides) under uncultured bacterium. Its description in RNAcentral is "partial 16S ribosomal RNA". It matches the Rfam family "Bacterial small subunit ribosomal RNA", at positions 524 to 776 of the family's 1533-position model. The record is from RNAcentral.
UACAGAGGUCCCAAGCGUUGUUCGGAUUCACUGGGCGUAAAGGGUGCGUAGGCGGUCGGGUAAGUCUGAUGUGAAAGCCCCGGGCUCAACCUGGGAAUGGCAGUGGAUACUGGACAGCUAGAGUGCGGUAGAGGGUAGUGGAAUUCCCGGUGUAGCAGUGAAAUGCGUAGAGAUCGGGAGGAACACCAGUGGCGAAGGCGGCUACCUGGACCAGCACUGACACUGAAGCACGAAAGCGUGGGGAGCAAACAGG